CCUACGGGUGGCAGCAGUGAGGAAUAUUGGUCAAUGGACGAGAGUCUGAACCAGCCAAGUAGCGUGAAGGAUGACUGCCCUAUGGGUUGUAAACUUCUUUUAUAUGGGAAUAAAAUGUUCCACGUGUGGGAUUUUGUAUGUACCAUAUGAAUAAGGAUCGGCUAACUCCGUGCCAGCAGCCGCGGUAAUACGGAGGAUACGAGCGUUAUCCGGAUUUAUUGGGUUUAAAGGGAGCGUAGGUGGAUUGUUAAGUCAGUUGUGAAAGUUUGCGGCUCAACCGUAAAAUUGCAGUUGAAACUGGCAGUCUUGAGUACAGUAGAGGUGGGCGGAAGUCGUGGUGUAGCGGUGAAAUGCUUAGAUAUCACGAAGAACUCCGAUUGCGAAGGCAGUUCACUGGACUGCAACUGACACUGAGGCUCGAAAGUGUGGGUAUCAAACAGGAUUAGAUACCCUUGUAGUC
This 460-nucleotide ribosomal RNA is filed under the name uncultured bacterium. RNAcentral's name for it is "partial 16S ribosomal RNA". It matches the Rfam family "Bacterial small subunit ribosomal RNA", at positions 338 to 795 of the family's 1533-position model. The record is from RNAcentral.